Molecule: Y RNA, 98 nt
Filed under: Prolemur simus (greater bamboo lemur)
Lineage: Eukaryota; Metazoa; Chordata; Mammalia; Primates; Lemuridae
Description: Y RNA (ENSPSMG00000002775.1)
Rfam family: Y RNA
About the family: Y RNAs are components of the Ro ribonucleoprotein particle (Ro RNP), in association with Ro60 and La proteins. The Y RNAs and Ro60 and La proteins are well conserved, but the function of the Ro RNP is not known.
Source: Rfam by way of RNAcentral
GGCUCGUCCCAGUGCAGUGAUAUUUACAAGUAAUUGAUCACAACCAGUUAUAGAUUCCUUUGUUUCUUCUCUGCUCCCACUGCUUCACUUGGCCUUUA